RNAcentral lists this ribosomal RNA (465 nucleotides) under uncultured bacterium. RNAcentral's name for it is "partial 16S ribosomal RNA". It matches the Rfam family "Bacterial small subunit ribosomal RNA", at positions 338 to 795 of the family's 1533-position model. The record is from RNAcentral.
CCUACGGGUGGCAGCAGUAGGGAAUCUUCCACAAUGGGCGCAAGCCUGAUGGAGCAACACCGCGUGAGUGAAGAAGGGUUUCGGCUCGUAAAGCUCUGUUGUUGGAGAAGAACGUGCGUGCGAGUAACUGUUCACGCAGUGACGGUAUCCACCCAGAAAGUCACGGCUAACUACGUGCCAGCAGCCGCGGUAAUACGUAGGUGGCAAGCGUUAUCCGGAUUUAUUGGGCGUAAAGCGAGCGCAGGCGGUUGCUUAGGUCUGAUGUGAAAGCCUUCGGCUUAACCGAAGAAGUGCAUCGGAAACCGGGCAACUUGAGUGCAGAAGAGGACAGUGGAACUCCAUGUGUAGCGGUGGAAGGCGUAGAUAUAUGGAAGAACACCAGUGGCGAAGGCGGCUGUCUGGGCUGCAACUGACGCUGAGGCUCGAAAGCAUGGGUAGCGAACAGGAUUAGAUACCCUAGUAGUC